RNAcentral lists this ribosomal RNA (434 nucleotides) under Veillonella parvula. RNAcentral's name for it is "bacterial SSU rRNA". It matches the Rfam family "Bacterial small subunit ribosomal RNA", at positions 28 to 435 of the family's 1533-position model. The record is from RNAcentral. Lineage: Bacteria; Bacillati; Bacillota; Negativicutes; Veillonellales; Veillonellaceae.
GACGAACGCUGGCGGCGUGCUUAACACAUGCAAGUCGAACGAAGAGCGAUGGAAGCUUGCUUCUAUCAAUCUUAGUGGCGAACGGGUGAGUAACGCGUAAUCAACCUGCCCUUCAGAGGGGGACAACAGUUGGAAACGACUGCUAAUACCGCAUACGAUCUAAUCUCGGCAUCGAGGAUAGAUGAAAGGUGGCCUCUACAUGUAAGCUAUCACUGAAGGAGGGGAUUGCGUCUGAUUAGCUAGUUGGAGGGGUAACGGCCCACCAAGGCGAUGAUCAGUAGCCGGUCUGAGAGGAUGAACGGCCACAUUGGGACUGAGACACGGCCCAGACUCCUACGGGAGGCAGCAGUGGGGAAUCUUCCGCAAUGGACGAAAGUCUGACGGAGCAAACGCCCGCGUGAGUGAUGACGGCCUUUCGGGGUGUAAAAGCUCUG